ACACGUAGGGGGCGAGCGUUGUUCGGAAUCAUUGGGCGUAAAGGGCGUGCAGGCGGUCCUGCAAGUCCGGCGUGAAAGACCCCGGCCCAACCGGGGGGACGCGCUGGAAACUGCGGGGCUUGAGUACAUGAGGGGAUGCCGGAAUUCCAGGUGUAGGGGUGAAAUCUGUAGAUAUCUGGAAGAACACCAAUGGCGAAGGCAGGCAUCUGGCCAUGUACUGACGCUGAGACGCGAAGGUGCGGGGAGCAAACAGGUUUAGAUACCCUGGUAGUCCGCACAGUAAACGAUGUGCACCAGGUGGCGGGGGGUCGACCCUCGGUACCGUAGCUAACGCAUUAAGUGCACCGCCUGGGGAGUAUGCUCGCAAGGGUGAAACUCAAAGGAAUUGACGGGG
RNAcentral lists this ribosomal RNA (394 nucleotides) under uncultured bacterium. RNAcentral describes it as "partial 16S ribosomal RNA". It matches the Rfam family "Bacterial small subunit ribosomal RNA", at positions 523 to 918 of the family's 1533-position model. The record is from RNAcentral.